CCUACGGGAUGCAGCAGUGGGGAAUAUUGCACAAUGGGGGAAACCCUGAUGCAGCGACGCCGCGUGCGUGAAGAAGUAUUUCGUUAUGUAAAGCUCUAUCAGCAGGGAAGAAAAUGCCGGUACCUGAUUCAGAAGCCCCGGCUAACUACGUGCCAGCAGCCGCGGUUCUACGUAGGGGGCAAGCGUUAUCCGGAUUUACUGGGUGUAAAGGGAGCGUAGACGGCAGGACAAGUAUGGAGUGAAAGGCCGGGGCGUAACCGCGGAACUGCUUUGGAAACUGUGCAGCUAGAGUGCAGGAGAGGUAAGUGGAAGUCCUAGUGUAGCGGUGAAAUGCGUAGAUAUUAGGAGGAACACCAGUGGCGAAGGCGGCUUACUGGACUGUAACUGACGUUGAGGCUCGAAAGCGUGGGGAGCAAACAGGAUUAGAUACCCCAGUAGUC
Molecule: ribosomal RNA, 440 nt
Filed under: uncultured bacterium
Lineage: Bacteria
Description: partial 16S ribosomal RNA
Rfam family: Bacterial small subunit ribosomal RNA
Source: RNAcentral